RNAcentral lists this ribosomal RNA (467 nucleotides) under uncultured bacterium. RNAcentral describes it as "partial 16S ribosomal RNA". It matches the Rfam family "Bacterial small subunit ribosomal RNA", at positions 28 to 506 of the family's 1533-position model. The record is from RNAcentral.
GACGAACGCUGGCGGCGUGCUUAACACAUGCAAGUCGAACGGAAAGGCCCUGCUUUUGUGGGGUGCUCGAGUGGCGAACGGGUGAGUAACACGUGAGUAACCUGCCCUUGACUUUGGGAUAACUUCAGGAAACUGGGGCUAAUACCGGAUAGGAGCUCCUGCUGCAUGGUGGGGGUUGGAAAGUUUCGGCGGUUGGGGAUGGACUCGCGGCUUAUCAGCUUGUUGGUGGGGUAGUGGCUUACCAAGGCUUUGACGGGUAGCCGGCCUGAGAGGGUGACCGGCCACAUUGGGACUGGGAUACGGCCCAGACUCCUACGGGAGGCAGCAGUGGGGAAUAUUGCACAAUGGGCGGAAGCCUGAUGCAGCAACGCCGCUUGCGGGAUGACGGCCUUCGGGUUGUAAACCGCUUUCGCCUGUGACGAAGCGUGAGUGACGGUAAUGGGUAAAGAAGCACCGGCUAACUACGU